AGAUCUUUAGCUCAAAUUGGUAGAGCACUUGAGAAAUGAAGAAUGUUGUUCUUUAUCUCAAGAGGAUGGUGGUUCGAAUCCACCAAGAUCUU
RNAcentral lists this transfer RNA (92 nucleotides) under Nelumbo nucifera (sacred lotus). It matches the Rfam family "tRNA". Rfam says of the family: Transfer RNA (tRNA) molecules are approximately 80 nucleotides in length. Lineage: Eukaryota; Viridiplantae; Streptophyta; Magnoliopsida; Proteales; Nelumbonaceae. The record is from Rfam by way of RNAcentral.